CAUAGCGACUAUCGUGGCAUAUCAAUAAGCGGAGGAAAAGAAACUAACAAGGAUUCCCUUAGUAACGGCGAGUGAAGCGGGAAGAGCUCAAAUUUGAAAUCUUCAAGGUUUUACCUUGACGAAUUGUAGUUUAAAGAAGUGUUUUCUGUUGGAGUUUUGGUAAAAGUUCUUUGGAAUAGGACAUCAUAGAGGGUGAGAAUCCCGUAUUUGGUCAUUCUUUCUAGCUUUGUGAUACACUUUCAACGAGUCGGAUUGUUUGGGAAUGCAGUCCAAAAUGGGUGGUAAAUUUCAUCUAAAGCUAAAUAUUGGCGAGAGACCGAUAGCGAACAAGUACCGUGAGGGAAAGAUGAAAAGAACUUUGAAAAGAGAGUUAAACAGUACGUGAAAUUGUCAAAAGGGAAGCGUUUGACACCAGUGUUGUUUUUCCGAAAAUCAAUUACGAAUGUUUUGUUUUUGAGGAAGUUAUGACUUCAUCGGCUUGCUUCCUUCUCUUACUGAAACUUUCUUAAUGCACUUUUCGGUUAACAAGUCAACAUCAAUUUCUUUUGUUGUAAAAGGGUAUGAGGAAGGUGGCUUUCUUUUCGGAGAAAGUGUUUAUAGCCUUGUGCCUCUGCAAUCGGAGAGAUUGAGGUCUGCAGCGUAGAUCCUUCGGGGUUAGAUACAUUUGUGCUAAGUUAUAGCUUUUCAUAGACAACUUGUUGACUAUGUUUAGUCUUGUAGCUUACUCGCUUAUGCUAUUUUACCUACGCUUAGGAUGUUGACGAGACUGUCGAUCUC
This 777-nucleotide ribosomal RNA is filed under the name uncultured Neocallimastigales. RNAcentral's name for it is "partial large subunit ribosomal RNA". It matches the Rfam family "Eukaryotic large subunit ribosomal RNA", at positions 22 to 647 of the family's 3401-position model. The record is from RNAcentral. Lineage: Eukaryota; Fungi; Neocallimastigomycota; Neocallimastigomycetes; Neocallimastigales.